AAGGCCUAUGAUGCAAUAAUGGAGUCAGUCGACAAAGGCCUAGGAAAGCAGAUAUUUGUCGAAGGCUACGGUGGCACAGGAAAAACCUAUCUAUGGAAAGCAAUAACGACAAAGCUAAGAUCAGAGGGGAAGGUAGUGCUUGCGGUAGCAUCAUAUGGCAUUGCAGCGUUGCUUCUCCAAGGUGGAAGAACAGCACACUCAAGGUUCCGUAUUCCACUUAAUAUCACUGAAGAAUCAACGUGUGAAAUAAAACAAGGCUCGCAUUUGGCUGAACUGCUAAAGAAGACCUCACUUAUAUUGUUGGACGAGGCUCCUAUGGCAAACAAACACUGCUUCGAGGCACUAGACAAAAGCCUGAGAGAUAUUCUAAGGUUCACUAAUGAAAACAACGAUGAAAAGCCAUUUGGUGGAAUGACAGUUAUACUAGGAGGCGACUUCAGACAAAUCCUGCCAGUUAUAACCAAAGGAAGGAGAGAGCAGAUAGUAAAUGCUUCAAUCAAAAGGUCAUAUCUGUGGAAACACUUUGAAAUAUUUGAGUUAACACAAAACAUGCGGCUGAAGUGUUUGUCAGAUGAUCCAAUACAAAAGCAAAAGGUCGCUGAAUUUGCAGAGUGGAUACUACAGAUUGGCGAUGGCAAAACAACAUCAGAUGAAGGAGAGGAUUGGAUAAAAAUACCAAAAGACCUACUGCUAGAGAAAGGAGAAAAUCGUAAAGAACAAAUCGUCAAAAGCAUAUACCCAAAUUUGCUGCAAAAAUACCGUGAGCGGUAUUACCUAGAAGAAAGAGCAAUACUAUGUCCAAGAAAUGAUACAGUCAAGAAGAUAAAUGACCACAUAAUGAGCCAAAUACAAGGUGAAGAGGUGACAUACCUAAGCCUGGACACAAUGUGCAAGGCAACGACAAAUACCAACAUCAUGAUGAACAUGCAGCCUACUGAGCUCCUCAACACCUUAACGUCCCCAGGAAUACCAGACCAUAAGUUAAAACUGAAGGUAGGUUUGCCGCUCAUGCUCCUACGCAACAUCAACCAAGCAGCAGGCUUAUGCAACGGUACAAGAAUGACAAUUACACAACUUGGAAACAAAUACAUCGAGACACAAAUAAUCACAGGAACACAUGUCGGCGAUAAGGUAUACAUACCUCGAAUCAUCAUGUCACCAAGUGACUCAAAAUGGCCAUUCGUG
This 1185-nucleotide ribosomal RNA is filed under the name Triticum aestivum (bread wheat). RNAcentral describes it as "partial small subunit ribosomal RNA". The record is from RNAcentral. Lineage: Eukaryota; Viridiplantae; Streptophyta; Magnoliopsida; Poales; Poaceae.